CCUAACAUCAGAGGAGGCCGUCCUCAAAAACAGGGAGAGGAUGGUCCACAUUCUGUUUUACAUUAAAAAGGUGUCAGCCCCUCUAGCAGACUGGCAACCAAUGGGCGACCCCUCAAUGAAGGCCAAAUCAAAUCACACCAACAUCAAUGUCCAAUCAGUCAGAUCGGAUGAUGAUAGGCCACUACAUCAGCGACUGCCAAUAGCAGCCAGGCCAGUGCGUGUUGUAUAAUGACUGUGAUUUCACCCUGACAUCAGAGGAGGCCGUCCUCAGACACGGAGAGGACUGCCAACAUUCUGUUUUAUAUCAAAAAGUGAGGAAGAUCACACCCCUAACCACCCCGCCUGCUGUCCCCAAUCUCAUCAGGGGUAAACGGAGUUAACACCAUUGCAGCAGGCUGGUAAACAUUGGAUGACCCCUCCAUAAAGGUCAAAUAAAAUCAUAUUACACCAACAUUUUAUUUCUUAUGGAGAAUGGACAGAAUGUGUGACCUGUGAAAAUGUUGUUUUAUCACUAAUUUUUGAUAAAAUACAAU
Long non-coding RNA from Alosa alosa (allis shad), 533 nucleotides. RefSeq lists it as uncharacterized. The record is from RefSeq and is a predicted model, not a curated record. The transcript is spliced from 3 exons. Lineage: Eukaryota; Metazoa; Chordata; Actinopteri; Clupeiformes; Clupeidae.